UGCGUAGGCGGUUCGGUAAGUUAGAUGUGAAAGCCCAAGGCCCAACCUUGGAACUGCAUCUGAUACUGCCGGACUAGAGUACAUGAGGGGAGAGCGGAAUUCUUGGUGUAGCGGUGAAAUGCGUUGAUAUCAAGAAGAACACCGGUGGCGAAGGCGGCUCUCUGGAAUGUUACUGACGCUGAGGCACGAAAGCUGGGGGAGCAAACA
Molecule: ribosomal RNA, 207 nt
Filed under: uncultured bacterium
Lineage: Bacteria
Description: partial 16S ribosomal RNA
Rfam family: Bacterial small subunit ribosomal RNA
Source: RNAcentral